RNAcentral lists this ribosomal RNA (665 nucleotides) under Parabacteroides distasonis. RNAcentral describes it as "bacterial SSU rRNA". It matches the Rfam family "Bacterial small subunit ribosomal RNA", at positions 867 to 1533 of the family's 1533-position model. Lineage: Bacteria; Pseudomonadati; Bacteroidota; Bacteroidia; Bacteroidales; Tannerellaceae. The record is from RNAcentral.
AUCCACCUGGGGAGUACGCCGGCAACGGUGAAACUCAAAGGAAUUGACGGGGGCCCGCACAAGCGGAGGAACAUGUGGUUUAAUUCGAUGAUACGCGAGGAACCUUACCCGGGUUUGAACGCAUUCGGACCGAGGUGGAAACACCUUUUCUAGCAAUAGCCGUUUGCGAGGUGCUGCAUGGUUGUCGUCAGCUCGUGCCGUGAGGUGUCGGCUUAAGUGCCAUAACGAGCGCAACCCUUGCCACUAGUUACUAACAGGUAAAGCUGAGGACUCUGGUGGGACUGCCAGCGUAAGCUGCGAGGAAGGCGGGGAUGACGUCAAAUCAGCACGGCCCUUACAUCCGGGGCGACACACGUGUUACAAUGGCGUGGACAAAGGGAGGCCACCUGGUGACAGGGAGCGAAUCCCCAAACCACGUCUCAGUUCGGAUCGGAGUCUGCAACCCGACUCCGUGAAGCUGGAUUCGCUAGUAAUCGCGCAUCAGCCAUGGCGCGGUGAAUACGUUCCCGGGCCUUGUACACACCGCCCGUCAAGCCAUGGGAGCCGGGGGUACCUGAAGUCCGUAACCGCGAGGAUCGGCCUAGGGUAAAACUGGUGACUGGGGCUAAGUCGUAACAAGGUAGCCGUACCGGAAGGUGCGGCUGGAACACCUCCUUUCUGGAGCU